RNAcentral lists this ribosomal RNA (168 nucleotides) under Bacillus cereus. RNAcentral's name for it is "partial 16S ribosomal RNA". It matches the Rfam family "Bacterial small subunit ribosomal RNA", at positions 1376 to 1533 of the family's 1533-position model. Lineage: Bacteria; Bacillati; Bacillota; Bacilli; Caryophanales; Bacillaceae. The record is from RNAcentral.
GGGCCUUGUACACACCGCCCGUCACACCACGAGAGUUUGUAACACCCGAAGUCGGUGGGGUAACCUUUUUGGAGCCAGCCGCCUAAGGUGGGACAGAUGAUUGGGGUGAAGUCGUAACAAGGUAGCCGUAUCGGAAGGUGCGGCUGGAUCACCUCCUUUCUAUGGAGA